AGAGUUUGAUCAUGGCUCAGAUUGAACGCUGGCGGCAUGCCUUACACAUGCAAGUCGAACGGUAACGGGCCUUCGGGUGCCGACGAGUGGCGAACGGGUGAGUAAUGCAUCGGAACGUACCUUUCAGUGGGGGAUAACGUAGCGAAAGUUACGCUAAUACCGCAUAUUCUGUGAGCAGGAAAGCAGGGGAUCGCAAAACCUUGCGCUGAUUGAGCGGCCGAUGUCAGAUUAGCUAGUUGGUGAGGUAAAGGCUCACCAAGGCGACGAUCUGUAGCGGGUCUGAGAGGAUGAUCCGCCACACUGGAACUGAGACACGGUCCAGACUCCUACGGGAGGCAGCAGUGGGGAAUUUUGGACAAUGGGGACAACCCUGAUCCAGCCAUGCCGCGUGAGUGAAGAAGGCCUUCGGGUUGUAAAGCUCUUUCGGCCGGGAAGAAAUCGCAUGGGUUAAUACCCUGUGCGGAUGACGGUACCGGCAUAAGAAGCACCGGCUAACUACGUG
This 502-nucleotide ribosomal RNA is filed under the name uncultured bacterium. RNAcentral describes it as "bacterial SSU rRNA". It matches the Rfam family "Bacterial small subunit ribosomal RNA", at positions 8 to 507 of the family's 1533-position model. The record is from RNAcentral.